AGAGUUUGAUCCUGGCUCAGGACGAACGCUGGCGGCGCGCUUAACACAUGCAAGUCGAGCGAUAACCAUGGCUUCGGCCAUGGGGAGAGCGGCGAACGGGUGAGUAACACGUGGGUAAUCUGCCCUCGACACUGGGAUAGCCCGGGGAAACCCGGAUUAAUACCGGAUAGCCUCUCGAGCUUUCGGGCUCGUGAGAAAAGAUGGCUUCGGCUUUCGGUUGAGGAGGAGCCUGCGGCGGAUUAGCUUGUUGGUGAGGUAACGGCCCACCAAGGCGACGAUCCGUAGCUGGUCUGAGAGGACGAUCAGCCACACUGGGACUGAGACACGGCCCAGACUCCUACGGGAGGCAGCAGUGGGGAAUCUUGCGCAAUGGGCGAAAGCCUGACGCAGCAACGCCGCGUGAGGGAAGAAGGCCUUCGGGUUGUAAACCUCUUUCAGGAGGGACGAAGCUACUCGGGUUAAUACCCCAGAGGGUGACGGUACCUCCAGAAGAAGCCCCGGCUAACUACGUGCCAGCCGCCGCGGUAAUAC
This 531-nucleotide ribosomal RNA is filed under the name uncultured bacterium. Its description in RNAcentral is "bacterial SSU rRNA". It matches the Rfam family "Bacterial small subunit ribosomal RNA", at positions 8 to 526 of the family's 1533-position model. The record is from RNAcentral.